AAUGAACGCUGGCGGCAGGCCUAACACAUGCAAGUCGAACGAAGCCUUCGGGCUUAGUGGCGGACGGGUGAGUAACGCGUGGGAACAUACCCAAAGGUACGGAAUAGCCUCGGGAAACUGGGAGUAAUACCGUAUGUGCCCUUUCACUGUAGUGGUGGGAGGGGAAAGAUUUAUCGCCUUUGGAUUGGCCCGCGUUGGAUUAGGUAGUUGGUGGGGUAAUGGCCUACCAAGCCGACGAUCCAUAGCUGGUUUGAGAGGAUGAUCAGCCACACUGGGACUGAGACACGGCCCAGACUCCUACGGGAGGCAGCAGUGGGGAAUCUUAGACAAUGGGCGCAAGCCUGAUCUAGCCAUGCCGCGUGAUCGAUGAAGGCCCUAGGGUUGUAAAGAUCUUUCAGAUGGGAAGAUAA
RNAcentral lists this ribosomal RNA (410 nucleotides) under uncultured Pseudorhodobacter sp. RNAcentral's name for it is "bacterial SSU rRNA". It matches the Rfam family "Bacterial small subunit ribosomal RNA", at positions 29 to 451 of the family's 1533-position model. Lineage: Bacteria; Pseudomonadati; Pseudomonadota; Alphaproteobacteria; Rhodobacterales; Paracoccaceae. The record is from RNAcentral.